Molecule: long non-coding RNA, 218 nt
Organism: Hyaena hyaena (striped hyena)
Lineage: Eukaryota; Metazoa; Chordata; Mammalia; Carnivora; Hyaenidae
Exons: 3
Source: RefSeq, a predicted model, not a curated record
CCGCGCCCGGCGCCAGCGAGCUCCGGAGAGCUGGCGGGCUCGAGAAGCCAUUCCACAUGAAUACUCCCAGAUCUGCCUAACUGAGAGAUAACACCAAGAUGACACCUAUCUGAUGACUGAUCUGCUUCUCCUCUGCCGGUGGAAAUAACGGAAGGGAGGAAGCGUGCGGCUUAUUCCUGUCCUCUCAGGAGGCAGAAGGGGAUCCCUUUGUGCAAUCC